GAUGAACGCUGGCGGCGUGCUUAACACAUGCAAGUCGAACGGGAUCCAAGGGGUGCUUGCACUUUUUGGUGAGAGUGGCGAACGGGUGAGUAACACGUGAGUAACCUGUCCUUUUCUUUGGGAUAAGCAUUCGAAAGGGUGUUUAAUACCUUAUGUUCUGUCUGCCUCGCAUGGGGUGGGUGGGAAAGGCUUUGGCCGGAUUUGGGUGGGCUCGCGGUCUAUCAGCUUGUUGGUGGGGUGAUGGCUUACCAAGGCUUUGACGGGUAGCCGGCCUGAGAGGGUGGUCGGUCACAUUGGGACUGCGAUACGGCCCAGACUCCUGCGGGAGGCAGCAGUGGGGGAUAUUGCACAAUGGGCGAAAGCCUGAUGCAGCGACGCCGCGUGGGGGAUGAAGGCCUUCGGGUUGUAAACUUCUUUUGCUCUGAACAAGGCAUGCCAGUGGGUGUGUUGAGUGUAGGGGUGGAUUAGCGCCGGCUAACUACGUG
RNAcentral lists this ribosomal RNA (485 nucleotides) under uncultured bacterium. Its description in RNAcentral is "partial 16S ribosomal RNA". It matches the Rfam family "Bacterial small subunit ribosomal RNA", at positions 28 to 507 of the family's 1533-position model. The record is from RNAcentral.